Molecule: long non-coding RNA, 520 nt
Organism: Arachis ipaensis
Lineage: Eukaryota; Viridiplantae; Streptophyta; Magnoliopsida; Fabales; Fabaceae
Source: RefSeq, a predicted model, not a curated record
ACCACCCUCAUCACAUCUUUCUUCUACAACUUUUGUGUGAUUUCUCUCUCCUUUCUUUUCUUCAAAGGGAGAGAGAAGAAUAAAAAAACAAUAACAAUAAAAAAAAUAAACAAUUAACAUUUGUAAUAGAAAGAUGGCUUCUUCAAUGAGAGUGGCAGUUUUCCUUGGCAUGAUUGCAACCCUUAUUUCAAUAGUAGCUGCUUCAGAACCCGCAACUUUAUCUAUCAAUGUUGGCAUUCCCACCACAAACGAAAAAAGUGGUGCUGCUUCAUAUGAUCAAGCAAUUGCUUGUGUCCUAAUGUUGGUGGCUUUGGUGUUUACCUACCUCUUUCAUUAAAUGAAGGUCAUAAGAGAGACACAUUAUUUAUUGUAACACCAUAUGGGAAUAUUUUUGUUGACUAAAGAUUUAUUUUUUCAUUCUUUUUAUUACAAGAGGAAUACACUACAAUUGAAAACAAAAAGAUUAUGGAUUCCUAGAUUGUAUUUCUAGCUCCAAUAAUGAUAUUCAAGUUGUUCUUCU